RNAcentral lists this ribosomal RNA (253 nucleotides) under uncultured bacterium. Its description in RNAcentral is "partial 16S ribosomal RNA". It matches the Rfam family "Bacterial small subunit ribosomal RNA", at positions 524 to 776 of the family's 1533-position model. The record is from RNAcentral.
UACGAAGGGGGCUAGCGUUGUUCGGAAUUACUGGGCGUAAAGCGCACGUAGGCGGCGCGACAAGUUAGGCGUGAAAUGCCUGGGCUUAACCCAGGAACUGCGCUUAAGACUGUCGUGCUAGAGACUAGGAGAGGGUGGCGGAAUUCCCAGUGUAGAGGUGAAAUUCGUAGAUAUCGGGAGGAACACCUGUGGCGAAGGCGGCCAUCUGGACAGUCACUGACACUGAGACGCGAAAGCGUGGGUAGCAAACAGG